CAGUAGAAGGACAAAUUAGACACAUAGCAUAUUUUCAUGUAGAUGAAGAAAGAUACAUGCCUGUGGUCUUUUCUUCAAGAAAACAGCUAAUUACAUGCAGUUCUGUAAGCCUCACAAUUUCAGCAUCCCAAAGAAGUAAUCAGAAGGUAAGCAUAAAAACUAGGAUUUUACAUAAGUCUUCAGUGGGGAUGUUUUCAAAGAGCUGAAAUGCUAGGACAAAAAGUAGAAACCCUGUAUGGUAGCAUGUCAAAUCCUUUCCCAGUCACUUUGAUCCAGUCAUUCUGGUCUAAACAUUUCAAAAGCAGCAUUCAGUGUGAUACAUAAACAGUGUGUGAAACACUGAGUAAGAACCAAGCUCACUAACCACAGUUCUGCUCGAUUACACUAGCUUAAAGUCCAGAGCAGCUCUACAAAAGUCUCCAUUGGUCUUCAUACAUGCCUCAGAGUCACUGAAAAUGAAGUUUGCCUCUGAAAGCAGGUACACAAAUCAACAUGAGAGCAGUUCUGCUUAACUAAGGACUGAUGGAUUAACUACUGAGUAAAAACUUGGGAUCAAACUGAGCUAACUGCAGACAGUUGCAGCUAAUCUGAUGAACUGGGUUUACCCUAUCAGAAGCAGAAAUGAAUAUGUUUCUCAACAGAAAAAGAGUCGUUUCCUGCAGAGGUGUGAGUGGCAUUGCCUGCAUGUCCAUCCAUGAGGACUGCUGUCACAGGUAGUGUGUUUGUCUGACUUAGAGCCCUCCGAGUUAGGGCCUUGUGCUUCCCACAACACCAAG
Long non-coding RNA from Cygnus olor (mute swan), 776 nucleotides. RefSeq lists it as uncharacterized. The record is from RefSeq and is a predicted model, not a curated record. The transcript has 3 exons. Lineage: Eukaryota; Metazoa; Chordata; Aves; Anseriformes; Anatidae.